Molecule: ribosomal RNA, 1689 nt
Filed under: Triticum aestivum (bread wheat)
Lineage: Eukaryota; Viridiplantae; Streptophyta; Magnoliopsida; Poales; Poaceae
Description: partial small subunit ribosomal RNA
Source: RNAcentral
AUGCUCACAAGGUUGAACCUUAGUUAUAACAAUCUACAGGGUAACAUUCCUAGGGAGAUCUUCCACACUGGCUCCACACUGACCAUAUGUGCAUUAUCCUACAAUAACUUACAAGGAACAAUACCUACAGAGUUCAGUAAUCUUAGGCAGCUAGUUGAGCUGUAUCUUUCAUCCAACAAACUUUCUGGGGAAAUUCCUAGUGCUUUAGGUGAGUGUCAAGAGCUGCAGAUCCUCCAAAUGGACCAGAAUAUUCUCACAGGGGAUAUUCCGGAGUCUUUGAGCAAUCUGAAGAGCUUGGUGGUGCUCAACUUUUCACAUAACAGUCUGUCUGGAUCCAUUCCGACAUCAAUAAGUGACCUGAAAUAUCUGAACCAGCUAGACCUCUCUUACAACCAUAUUCAUGGAGAAGUACCAAGAAAUGGGGUAUUUGAAAAUGUCAUGGCUGUUUCUCUCGAUGGGAAUUCGGGACUUUGUGGUGGAGCAGUGGAUCUUCGUAUGCCCACUUGCUCUGCUAUUUCUCAGAGAAAAGGAAGACUGUACUACUUGGUCAGAGUAUGUAUCCCUUUGGUUGGCUUCACAUCACUCGUAUUAUUCGCUUACUUUGUACUCCUGGAGAGCAAGACGCCAAGAAGAACAUACUUACUGUUGCUUUCUUUUGGCAAGCAUUUUCCUAGAGUUACCUACAGGGAUCUAGCUCAAGCUACACAGAGCUUUUCUGAGUCAAACCUGGUUGGGAGAGGAAGCUACGGUUCAGUAUAUAGAGGAAAGUUAACUCAAGCAAAAAUACAAGUGGCUAUUAAAGUUUUUGACCUCGAUGUGAGAUACGCAGACAAAAGUUUCAUUUCAGAAUGCGAGGUUUUGAGAAGUAUUCGACAUCGAAAUCUUGUUUCUAUCUUAACAGCAUGCUCAACAAUAGAUAAUGAUGGUAACACUUUCAAAGCUCUAAUUUAUGAGUUCAUGCCAAACGGGAAUUUGGACACAUGGUUACACACAAAAUCUGCUGGCGAAGGUCCAAGGAUUUUGAGCUUAGGGCAAAGAAUAAGCAUCGCUGUUAAUAUCGCUGAUGCAUUGGCCUACCUGCACCAUGAUAUCACAAGAUCCAUUGUCCAUUGCGAUUUGAAACCCAGCAAUAUCCUCCUGGACACUGAUAUGAAUGCAUAUUUGGGUGACUUUGGCAUUGCAAACCUCGUCCGUAAUUCAAAGUCAACAUCAGUUGGGCAUUCAAGUUCAGCCUCAACUUCAGAUGGCUCAAUUGGAUUGAAGGGAACUAUAGGAUAUAUUGCUCCAGAGUAUGCUCAAACUGGCCAAGCAUCAACUUAUGGGGACAUUUACAGUUUUGGAGUUGUUCUUCUAGAGAUGCUGAUAGAUAAGAGACCAACAGACCCUAUUUUUGACAAUGAACUCAACAUUGUCAAUUUCGCAGAGAGGAACUCUCCAGAUCAGAUACUGCAUAUCAUUGAUGAUCAUCUCCAAGAAGAGUGCAAGGGAUUCAUUCGUGCAACAGCGGAAGCAGGAAACGUGGUAUAUCAGUGCUUGGUGUCCCUUGUGCAAGUAGCUCUGUCUUGUACCCGUCUGUUCCCAAGAGAACGAAUGAACAUGAGAGAAGUAGCCAUGAAAUUGCAGGCAGCCAGAACAUCAUAUAUAUGUUGGAGCAAACAAACCAGAGCAAGCUAUGCCACACUAGAGUGA